RNAcentral lists this ribosomal RNA (611 nucleotides) under uncultured bacterium. RNAcentral's name for it is "bacterial SSU rRNA". It matches the Rfam family "Bacterial small subunit ribosomal RNA", at positions 256 to 858 of the family's 1533-position model. The record is from RNAcentral.
GGUGACGGCCCACCAAGGCUAUGACGGGUAGCUGACGUGAGAGCGUGAUCAGCCACACUGGGACUGAGACACGGCCCAGACUCCUACGGGAGGCAGCAGUGGGGAAUAUUGCGCAAUGGGCGAAAGCCUGACGCAGCGACGCCGCGUGGGGGAGGAAGGCCCUAGGGUUGUAAACCCCUGUCAGGUGGGACGAACCGUGGAUCGGCAAAUAGCCGGUUCGCCUGACGGUACCACCAGAGGAAGCUCCGGCUAACUCCGUGCCAGCAGCCGCGGUAAUACGGAGGGAGCAAGCGUUGUUCGGAAUUACUGGGCAUAAAGGGCGCGUAGGCGGCUUGGUAAGUGUGAAGUGAAAGCCCACGGCUCACCCGUGGAACUGCUUUGCAUACUGCCAGGCUCGAGGACGGUAGGGGAGAGCGGAACUCUUGGAGGAGCGGUGAAAUGCGUAGAUAUCAAGAGGAACACCAAUGGCGAAGGCAGCUCUCUGGUCCGUUACUGACGCUGAGGCGCGAAAGCCAGGGUAGCGAACGGGAUUAGAUACCCCGGUAGUCCUGGCCGUAAGCGAUGGGCACUAGCUAGGGGCCUCCCUGUGGGGUCCCUGGCGAAGCAAAUGU